RNAcentral lists this long non-coding RNA (457 nucleotides) under Solanum tuberosum (potato). Its description in RNAcentral is "long non-coding RNA (STUB_LNC009819)". Lineage: Eukaryota; Viridiplantae; Streptophyta; Magnoliopsida; Solanales; Solanaceae. The record is from RNAcentral.
AGCACAUAAGAGGACUUUCACAUAAUAGUCGUUAGACUUAGGGAACUCACUUUAGUAUCUUCAAAGCCUACUCGUGCCAUGUGUAGAUAGCAUCCCAUACUACUACCUACACGUUGUAGAACCUAUCCAAUAACUAGAGUGCACAUCCCACAUGAUGGGAAUAAGCAUAACCGACAUAGACCAUACUAGCUAGGCAUGGAAUCCGGAGUCUAUCCUACUCCGUGGAGGUUGUUCUACUUGCCAAAGGUAGAACUAGUAAGCAACCCAUGUAGGCACAUGGUUUAGGGGAUGUCCAAGGAAGUUCAUUGUGCCUAAUCUCAUACUCAACUAGGCCACCUUCCUAACCACAUCCACUCGGUGCUAGCCUUGUUUCCCAUAGAGUAUUCAAUCACAUAUGUACUUAGAGAAGGUUCCUUUUCUAGUUCAACCAACUCAUAGUACCUCUUCCCAAGAAAGG